This 400-nucleotide ribosomal RNA is filed under the name uncultured bacterium. Its description in RNAcentral is "bacterial SSU rRNA". It matches the Rfam family "Bacterial small subunit ribosomal RNA", at positions 355 to 772 of the family's 1533-position model. The record is from RNAcentral.
UGGGGAAUAUUGGACAAUGGGCGCAAGCCUGAUCCAGCAAUGCCGCGUGGGUGAAGAAGGUCUUCGGAUUGUAAAGCCCUUUCGGCGGGGACGAUGAUGACGGUACCCGCAGAAGAAGCCCCGGCUAACUUCGUGCCAGCAGCCGCGGUAAUACGGAGGGGGCUAGCGUUGCUCGGAGUGACUGGGCGUAAAGGGCGCGUAGGCGGCUGUUACAGUCAGACGUGAAAUUCCUGGGCUCAACCUGGGGGCUGCGUUUGAUACGUGAUGGCUAGAGUGCGGAAGAGGGUCGUGGAAUUCCCAGUGUAGAGGUGAAAUUCGUAGAUAUUGGGAAGAACACCGGUGGCGAAGGCGGCGACCUGGUCCGUGACUGACGCUGAGGCGCGAAAGCGUGGGGAGCAAA